This 465-nucleotide small RNA is filed under the name Pan troglodytes (chimpanzee). RNAcentral describes it as "retained intron". Lineage: Eukaryota; Metazoa; Chordata; Mammalia; Primates; Hominidae. The record is from RNAcentral.
UGGCGGCCGGGAGUCCCGGAAUGGCUGCCUGGACGUGGAGAAGGACUGUUCCAUCACCAAGUUCCUGAACCGCAUCCUGGGGCUGGAGGUGCACAAGCAGAACGCCCUGUUCCAGUACUUCUCAGACACCUUCGACCACCUCAUCGAGAUGGACAAGCGGGAGGGCAAAUAUGACAUGGGCAUCCUGGACCUUGCUCCCGGUAUCGAGGAGAUCUACGAGGAGAGCCAGCAGGUGUUCCUGGCUCCCGGGCACCCGCAGGACGGGCAGGUGGUCUUCUACAAGGUCAGCAGGAAGCCCCACAGCCCCUCACACUCUGCCCACCCCGCCCCCACCACACUCACACCCCCCCACCCCGUGCCGUGGCAGAUCAGCGUGGACCGCGGCCUGAAGUGGGAGGACGCCUUUGCCAAGUCGCUGGAGCUGACGGGCCCCUAUGACGGCUUCUACCUCUCCUACAAGGUGGG